GACGAACCGUGCGAACGUUGUUCGGAAUCACUGGGCUUAAAGGGUGCGUAGGCGGGCCGAAAAGUCAGGGGUGAAAUCCUCCAGCUUAACUGGAGAACUGCCUUUGAUACUGGCGGUCUGGAGUAAGGUAGGGGCAUGCGGAACUGAUGGUGGAGCGGUGAAAUGUGUUGAUAUCAUCAGGAACUCCGGUGGCGAAAGCGGCGUGCUGGACCUGUACUGACGCUCAUGCACGAAAGCGUGGGGAGCAAACAGG
Molecule: ribosomal RNA, 253 nt
Filed under: uncultured bacterium
Lineage: Bacteria
Description: partial 16S ribosomal RNA
Rfam family: Bacterial small subunit ribosomal RNA
Source: RNAcentral